AUACGGAGGGUGCGAGCGUUAAUCGGAAUUACUGGGCGUAAAGCGUACGUAGGCGGUUGGUUAAGUUAGAUGUGAAAGCCCCGGGCUUAACCUGGGAACUGCAUUUGAAACUGGGUAACUAGAGUUUAGUAGAGGGGAGUGGAAUUUCAGGUGUAGCGGUGAAAUGCGUAGAGAUCUGAAGGAACACCAGUGGCGAAGGCGACUCCCUGGACUAAAACUGACGCUGAGGUACGAAAGCGUGGGUAGCAAACAGGAUUAGAAACCCGGGUAGUCC
Molecule: ribosomal RNA, 274 nt
Filed under: uncultured bacterium
Lineage: Bacteria
Description: partial 16S ribosomal RNA
Rfam family: Bacterial small subunit ribosomal RNA
Source: RNAcentral